AGAGUUUGAUCCUGGCUCAGGACGAACGCUGGCGGCGCGCCUAACACAUGCAAGUCGAACGAGCGAGAGAGAGCUUGCUUUCUCGAGCGAGUGGCGAACGGGUGAGUAACGCGUGGGGAACCUGCCUCAAAGAGGGGGACAACAGUUGGAAACGACUGCUAAUACCGCAUAAGCCCACGGGUCGGCAUCGACCAGAGGGAAAAGGAGCAAUCCGCUUUGAGAUGGCCUCGCGUCCGAUUAGCUAGUUGGUGAGGUAACGGCCCACCAAGGCGACGAUCGGUAGCCGGACUGAGAGGUUGAACGGCCACAUUGGGACUGAGACACGGCCCAGACUCCUACGGGAGGCAGCAGUGGGGAAUAUUGCACAAUGGGGGAAACCCUGAUGCAGCGACGCCGCGUGGAGGAAGAAGGUCUUCGGAUUGUAAACUCCUGUUGUUGAGGAAGAUAAUGACGGUACUCAACAAGGAAGUGACGGCUAACUACGUGCCAGCAGCCGCGGUAAAACGUAGGUCACAAGCGUUGUCCGGAAUUACUGGGUGUAAAGGGAGCGCAGGCGGGAAGACAAGUUGGAAGUGAAAUCUAUGGGCUCAACCCAUAAACUGCUUUCAAAACUGUUUUUCUUGAGUAGUGCAGAGGUAGGCGGAAUUCCCGGUGUAGCGGUGGAAUGCGUAGAUAUCGGGAGGAACACCAGUGGCGAAGGCGGCCUACUGGGCACCAACUGACGCUGAGGCUCGAAAGUGUGGGUAGCAAACAGGAUUAGAUACCCUGGUAGUCCACACCGUAAACGAUGAUUACUAGGUGUUGGAGGAUUGACCCCUUCAGUGCCGCAGUUAACACAAUAAGUAAUCCACCUGGGGAGUACGACCGCAAGGUUGAAACUCAAAGGAAUUGACGGGGGCCCGCACAAGCAGUGGAGUAUGUGGUUUAAUUCGACGCAACACGAAGAACCUUACCAAGUCUUGACAUCCUGCGACGAUGCUGGAAACAGUAUUUUCCUUCGGGACGCAGAGACAGGUGGUGCAUGGUUGUCGUCAGCUCGUGUCGUGAGAUGUUGGGUUAAGUCCCGCAACGAGCGCAACCCUUACUGUCAGUUACUACGCAAGAGGACUCUGGCAGGACUGCCGUUGACAAAACGGAGGAAGGUGGGGAUGACGUCAAAUCAUCAUGCCCUUUAUGACUUGGGCUACACACGUACUACAAUGGCGUUAAACAAAGAGAAGCAAGACCGCGAGGUGGAGCAAAACUCAGAAACAACGUCCCAGUUCGGACUGCAGGCUGCAACUCGCCUGCACGAAGUCGGAAUUGCUAGUAAUCGUGGAUCAGCAUGCCACGGUGAAUACGAACCCGGGCCUUGCACUCACCGCCCGUCA
This 1370-nucleotide ribosomal RNA is filed under the name uncultured bacterium. RNAcentral's name for it is "bacterial SSU rRNA". It matches the Rfam family "Bacterial small subunit ribosomal RNA". The record is from RNAcentral.